RNAcentral lists this long non-coding RNA (1494 nucleotides) under Sorghum bicolor (sorghum). RNAcentral describes it as "long non-coding RNA (SBIC_LNC002214)". Lineage: Eukaryota; Viridiplantae; Streptophyta; Magnoliopsida; Poales; Poaceae. The record is from RNAcentral.
AGAUCAAUAUAGGUUCCCACAUCUAGUUACUUUGUAGUAGUACUUUUCACUGCAGUACUGUUCCACAAGUUAAGAAUUGCCAUAACCUUCUGGAAGCGUUCCAGCCAAUCCAGUAGCAGCAGCUGGACGACACAGUGAAGUGCCUUGUUGACCAGGCUUGGACUUGGAGAAAAAUUUCUUCUAUAGGAGACAUGGGGAGUAGUAGUACAGUAGGCAGGGAACAAAAAGGAGACGAGCCCUGAGGAAGGCAGGAACCAGCCCGUAGUUAUAGAGCACCGGCCUGGAGGUUAGAACGAAAGCAAGAAAGCUGAGUAAACAUGGUUCGAUACAGAAGUCCAAAUACAUCAAAUCAUCCACUAUUUUCUUCUCCAGCUAGUCAUCCCUAUCAAGUUUAUUUGCAACCACAAAAUCAUAUACUAGUAGCCAAGACCCAAGAAGUGGAAGAGCUGCAGGGGAGGAUAGACCAGUAAAGGAGGAGCCGAUGAGCUAGUUAAGAGCAACACACGGCGUUGCAUGAGGAUGCCGCAACUAUUUUCGUGUGCUCGUGACCUCGAUCGAACUCGUCCCCAAAAUAAAGGUGAAUCCCCGCACACUAGUUGAUUUCAUCUAAAAGCACAUUAGCAAAGAAUAGCUCCUGUACACCUUGCAAACACAUGUGACAAAUCCCUAGCACCCUUUCUCAGCUCACCAUUUUAGCUAGGGAAGGGUCACAACAGCACAACAAAUAGAGAAGUAGAGUAUGAGAUCAAUUUUAGUAGUCAUACACUUAAAGGAGGCAGGAGAUAUAGGAAGGUCAGGACCUCACUUUCACCACUUGAAUGGAGUGUCAGCACUGUCGUCCGGAGCGGGGAAGGCACCACACGGCCAAGCCACAGACCUGGGCGCUGCACACGCCCGGCGGCACACAUCCCUGUGUGCCACAGCUACUAGCGCAUGGACAACCCUGAGCCAUGGGUCACCACCAAGCAUCGCCUGCUCCCCUGACGUGUAGAGCUAGGAUCCCAAAACAGAGGGCACGAAGUGGCCGGAAUAGAGGGGGAAUUGAGUGGGAUAUAUAUAUAUAUAUAGCACCAUGGUAGUAGAGAGGGGGUGAUUAGAGGUGAGAUUCUCAAUCCAUACUUCCAUACUAGUGGAUUUGGGCUGCGGGAGUAGCUGUAGCAUGAAGAACACAGGGAGUGAGGCCGUGAGGGAGGAAGCAGAGGGGAUAGAGGAUGGAGAAAGGUGAGUGCGUGUGCUGCUGCUGUUCUAGUGGUCUUUCACCGUUCAGGCAAUCAGGCAUUAGUACUAGUACAGAGAGCAUGCCUCUUCUUAGUUUAUUACUAGGUGCUGGAGCUCGUAUGAAGUAUAUAUGAACAUGGAUGUAUUAGGAAUAUUAGUUAGCUAAUUAUUUACUAAUUGCACACCAGAUCAAUACAUACCCUAUAAAUCACACCAUAAUAAUUAAGAUUAAGAGGUAAUGAAGUAUUGACUGUUGGAUGAGACAUAUGGCUACGU